This 110-nucleotide ribosomal RNA is filed under the name uncultured bacterium. Its description in RNAcentral is "partial 16S ribosomal RNA". It matches the Rfam family "Bacterial small subunit ribosomal RNA", at positions 1373 to 1482 of the family's 1533-position model. The record is from RNAcentral.
CCCGGGUCUUGUACACACCGCCCGUCACACCACGAAAGUGGGUCACACUUGAAGCUGGGUAGCGAACCUUCGGGACGCGCCUGUCCAGGGUGGGGCCCGUGAUUGGGGUG